UUCCUACGGGGCGCAGCAGUGGGGGAUAUUGCACAAUGGGGGAAACCCUGAUGCAGCGACGCCGCGUGUGGGAAGACGGUCCUCUGGAUUGUAAACCACUGUCCCCAGAGACGAAAAUGACGGUACCUGGGGAGGAAGCUCCGGCUAACUACGUGCCAGCAGCCGCGGUAAUACGUAGGGAGCGAGCGUUGUCCGGAAUUACUGGGUGUAAAGGGAGCGUAGGCGGGGAUGCAAGGUGGGUGUCAAAACUACCGGCUCAACUGGUAGUCGCACUCACAACUGCAGCUCUUGAGUGAAGAAGAGGG
RNAcentral lists this ribosomal RNA (305 nucleotides) under uncultured bacterium. RNAcentral describes it as "bacterial SSU rRNA". It matches the Rfam family "Bacterial small subunit ribosomal RNA", at positions 336 to 658 of the family's 1533-position model. The record is from RNAcentral.